This 331-nucleotide ribosomal RNA is filed under the name uncultured bacterium. RNAcentral describes it as "bacterial SSU rRNA". It matches the Rfam family "Bacterial small subunit ribosomal RNA", at positions 568 to 898 of the family's 1533-position model. The record is from RNAcentral.
UGCGCAGGCGGUCUUGUAAGACAGAUGUGAAAUCCCCGGGCUUAACCUGGGAACUGCAUUUGUGACUGCAAGGCUGGAGUACGGCAGAGGGGGAUGGAAUUCCGCGUGUAGCAGUGAAAUGCGUAGAUAUGCGGAGGAACACCGAUGGCGAAGGCAAUCCCCUGGGCCUGUACUGACGCUCAUGCACGAAAGCGUGGGGAGCAAACCAGGAUUAGAUACCCUGGUAGUCCACGCCCUAAACGAUGUCAACUCGGUUGUUGGGUCUUCACUGACUCAGUACGAAGCUAACGCGUGAAGUUGACCGCCUGGGGAGUACGGCCGCAAGGUUGAA